AUCUACCUAGUAGUACGGAAUAGCCAUUAGAAAUGGUGGGUAAUACUGUAUAAUCCCCGAGGGGGAAAGAUUUAUCGCUAUUAGAUGAGCCUACGUUAGAUUAGCUAGUUGGUGAGGUAAUGGCUUACCAAGGCUAUGAUCUAUAGCUGGUCUGAGAGGACGAUCAGCCGCACUGGAACUGAGAUACGGACCAGACUCCUACGGGAGGCAGCAGUGGGGAAUAUUGGACAAUGGGCGAAAGCCUGAUCCAGCUAUGCCGC
RNAcentral lists this ribosomal RNA (260 nucleotides) under uncultured bacterium. RNAcentral's name for it is "partial 16S ribosomal RNA". It matches the Rfam family "Bacterial small subunit ribosomal RNA", at positions 124 to 400 of the family's 1533-position model. The record is from RNAcentral.